RNAcentral lists this ribosomal RNA (327 nucleotides) under uncultured eukaryote. RNAcentral's name for it is "partial 18S ribosomal RNA". It matches the Rfam family "Eukaryotic small subunit ribosomal RNA", at positions 1470 to 1796 of the family's 1831-position model. The record is from RNAcentral.
CCCUUAGAUGUUCUGGGCCGCACGCGCGCUACACUGAUUCAUGCAACAAGUUUUGUCCUUGGCUGAUAGGCCUGGGUAAUCUUUGAACGUGAAUCGUGAUGGGGAUAGAUGAUUGCAAUUAUUCAUCUUCAACGGGGAAUUCCUAGUAAACGCAAGUCAUCAGCUUGCAUUGAUUACGUCCCUGCCCUUUGUACACACCGCCCGUCGCACCUACCGAUUGAAUGGUCCGGUGAAAUCUUCGGAUCUGAGAGAUGUCUGAUUAAUUUCGGACGCCUUUUGGAAAAGUUGUUUAAACCUUACCAUUUAGAGGAAGGUGAAGUCGUAACA